Molecule: ribosomal RNA, 798 nt
Filed under: uncultured Prochlorococcus sp.
Lineage: Bacteria; Bacillati; Cyanobacteriota; Cyanophyceae; Synechococcales; Prochlorococcaceae
Description: bacterial SSU rRNA
Rfam family: Bacterial small subunit ribosomal RNA
Source: RNAcentral
CAAGUCGAACGAACCUUCGGGUUAGUGGCGGACGGGUGAGUAACGCGUGGGAAUCUGCCCUCAGGAGGGGGAUAACGGUUGGAAACGACCGCUAAUACCCCAUAUGCCGAGAGGUGAAAUGAAUUUCGCCUGAGGAUGAGCCCGCGUCUGAUUAGCUUGUUGGUGAGGUAAUGGCUCACCAAGGCAUCGAUCAGUAGCUGGUCUGAGAGGAUGAUCAGCCACACUGGGACUGAGACACGGCCCAGACUCCUACGGGAGGCAGCAGUGGGGAAUUUUCCGCAAUGGGCGAAAGCCUGACGGAGCAACGCCGCGUGAGGGACGAAGGCCUCUGGGCUGUAAACCUCUUUUCUCAAGGAAGAAGAUAUGACGGUACUUGAGGAAUAAGCCACGGCUAAUUCCGUGCCAGCAGCCGCGGUAAUACGGGAGUGGCAAGCGUUAUCCGGAAUUAUUGGGCGUAAAGCGUCCGCAGGCGGCCUUUCAAGUCUGCUGUUAAAACGUGGAGCUUAACUCCAUCAUGGCAGUGGAAACUGAUUGGCUUGAGUAUGGUAGGGGCAGAGGGAAUUCCCGGUGUAGCGGUGAAAUGCGUAGAUAUCGGGAAGAACACCAGUGGCGAAGGCGCUCUGCUGGGCCAUUACUGACGCUCAUGGACGAAAGCCAGGGGAGCGAAAGGGAUUAGAUACCCCUGUAGUCCUGGCCGUAAACGAUGAACACUAGGUGUCGGGGGAAUCGACCCCUUCGGUGUCGUAGCUAACGCGUUAAGUGUUCCGCCUGGGGAGUACGCACGCAAGUGUGAAACUC